Molecule: unclassified non-coding RNA, 239 nt
Filed under: uncultured Ascomycota
Lineage: Eukaryota; Fungi; Ascomycota
Description: sequence contains ITS2
Rfam family: 5.8S ribosomal RNA (bases 1-52)
Source: RNAcentral
AACGCACAUUGCGCCCCUCGGUAUUCCGGGGGGCAUGCCUGUUCGAGCGUCAUUGCAACCCUCAAGCCCCGCUUGGUGUUGAGCCCGUGCCAGCGAUGGCAGGCUCCAAAGUCAAUGGCGGCGCCGCCGGGCCCUGAACGUAGUAGUCUCUUCUCGUUACAGGCGUCCGGUGCGCGCUGGCCGCAGCCUCACCUCUUAUGGUUGACCUCGGAUCAGGUAGGGAUACCCGCUGAACUUAA